RNAcentral lists this long non-coding RNA (4244 nucleotides) under Homo sapiens (human). Its description in RNAcentral is "HSALNT0302093". The record is from RNAcentral. Lineage: Eukaryota; Metazoa; Chordata; Mammalia; Primates; Hominidae.
UCUGCCUCGGCCUCCCAAAGUGCUGGGAUUACAGGUGAGAGCCAUCGCACCCGGCCAACAGUGGGUAUAAUUAAUGGGACUUUUUUCAUUGGCAUGGUCAGGAGGAUAGGACACAGCCUCGCUAGUGGUAAGUGCUGGGUGCUGACAUGUGGGCCACUGACGCUAUGGGCAGGAGGGUUAGCGGGGAGGGGAUUUCAGGCACAGUGAACAGCACAGACAUGAAGGCGAAAAACGAAAGAAAACAAAAUGCCACAGCCCUGAGCCAUCCGGGGUGCUGGGAGCAGUGCAGAGUCACUGCCAACUUCUGUGUGUUGCAGGCAGGAGCAGGCGUGGUGAAACUGCGGAGUGGCCGCCAGAGCGAUCAGAAGUCUAGCCAAAGAGGCGUGGACCCAAGAGGGCCAACCCUGGUAGGGGGAAGUCCCCAAGACUGGGCCACAAGGGCCUGAUCUCAACUCCUAGGUGUUGAGAGAGGCCAGAGGCUAUGUGGGGCUUUGAUGCUCCUUCUGUGGGGUGAGGGUGGGUGAGAAAUUUUGAGGAGGUGCAGGGGAGGAGUCUAGAGGGGUGUGUGUAGGAGAGAGAGAGAGAAAGAAAGGGAGAGAACUAUAAAGUUGGAGGCCAAUACCAAGGGGCAGCCAGAAUUAAUGCCUGUUCUGGAGAGGGAGCAAGCAGCACCGGUCUCUUUCCCAACCCCGGGCCGCUUUGCCCUCCAGUACCAGGAAGUGCCUCUGCGGGAGAGAGGCCAGGAGGCUGCUCCACACACAUCCUGCUUUUGCUCAGUCUAACUCUCCUCCCUGGCCUGCCUCAGCCCUGCACCCAGACUGUUUCAUCAGGUCAUAGAGCGGCUGGGUGUGAGUGUGUGGGUGUUUGUGUGUGUGUGCACACACAUGCGUGUACAUGUGGCAUUUCUAGAUCAGAGAAUGCUCAGAGGCCCUGCUAAAGGUCAGGUCAGUAAGGAGUGAGGGCAUGGCCAGCCCCUCAGGUCCUGGCACCCAGAUAGCUCCUUCCCACCCAAAUCUGCCAGGCCUCGGGGGCAGUGGCAGCUGACAGGCCUCUGAGUCAGGAUGGGUGAGGAGGAGGAGCUGAAGGGCCGGCCAAGGAGGAGUAAGUCGUCACCUGCUGAGUGGCGGGUCAUUCGUUUAGCCCAGUGAUGGGGAGCAGUGCUGCAGGGGGCAGGGGUCGGAGGGGAGGGGGAUUUCUGCCAUUGAAACAAUAGGCACCCUAGUUCUGUGUUACUGGGGCUGGGGGCCAGGAGGCAGGAUAGGACAUGCUCUUGCCUCCCCACCUCCGCUGUGCUCAGCAGCUGGUGGAGACCUGGGAGGAGAAUCCCAGGCUGAUGCCUAGCGUGGGCCCAGUAAAGUCUUUGGGGAUUUGAUGCAACCCCGAGUUCCUGAUGGCUCAUGGAGAGGCUGUGCCUGCACCUCGUGGCGAUGAGCCAUCUGGGGCUCGCCCCGCACCCAGCACAUGGCUAGGAGCAUAGUGAACUCCGUCUCUAGGAAUGGGCAGGACCCAGGAAGGCUAGUGAAAAGAUGCAUUUGAGGCCUGAGCUCUCUGUGUCCAGAAGCAGCCCCCUCAGGUUGUGGGGGGACACUCUGGGUCUUGCACCUGCCAAGGCCCCUGCCACAGAGAAUGGGAACAGCACUGCUCCCCCAGGGCCACUCCAAGUUUUCUGGUCUCAAGAUGCAGUCCCUGUGGGGCUGUGGGUGGGCCCCCUCUCUGCCUAGCCCAGUUCCAGCUACAGAAGCUGUGUGGAAACAUCUCCCCUGAACCAAGUGCCUUUGAACUUUCCAGGAAUGCUGGCCUGGGGCGGAGCAGGGGUGGCAGGGAAGGACAGGCGUGGGGUGGGAUGUUCCAGAAUCUACUGGGACCCAAACCCGAGAGCACCGAGUUCCCACGAGCCAAUGCCUGGCUGUGGAGGAACCGGGAGGUCACAGGGAUGCAAUGGGCAACAUCAGGAUGAGGCAGGAAAGAAAACUGGCUCAGAGAGGCUGAGUAACCUGCUCAAGAUGACACAGCUUGUGGGUGGCUGAGUUGGCCUUCCAACCCAGAUUCCUGUCAUGUUCCUCAAGCCGACAGGUUCAGCUUGGUUGUGACCUCUGCUAGAAGCCCUCCCUGGCCUCCCUGUGCACUGAGCUGGUGGUUCCUCCUUUGCGCCCCAGGUACAUGCUCAGAUCUGUGUACCCUACACUUUGUCCUCCAGCUUCGUGUUUGGAUGUUCACAACUCCCAUGAGAAGGGCCCCCGAGAGCUGGCACAGUGCAUGUGUUUCCUCUCCAGACUUCUACAAACCUGGCACAUAAUUGUUUGCUGAAAGAUGGCAUGUUCCUAAAACAGAGGAAGUAGAACCGAAUAAAGCGAAAUCCAACUUCCCACUCCCUGCUCUCACUUCCUCUGGGACAGGCCUUGAGCAAGAGAGACAAAAAGAACAAGAGAUGAUCUUUCCCUUUAAUGGGAUUUCAGUCUGAUCAGGGAGAUAGUAACAGAAAGACUAGACUAGACUAGUGUAUGAUUAAAUGACAUUUGCCAUCCCCAGAAGAGGGAGAGACCUGCAUGGAACAGGGUGGUCAAGGCAGGCUUCCUGGAGGAGGCAAAGACUUAGAUUUAACAGUACCAGAGCUCCAGGAUAGAUCCUCCUCUGACUGAACUCCCUAUUUCUUUCUCCCACCCCAACCUUCCCGGGUCCCCAGCUGAAGGGAUACGUGUGUGUGUGUGUGUACAUGUGCCUGCACACAUGUACACAUGUGGUUAGAAAGGGGGUAUUAGUAUCUCUCUCCUAGGAUGGAGUCUCAAGGACAGGCCCAUCAUCUCCUCAGUUUGCCCCUCUCUCUCCCACUUCACCUAGGGAAUGGAAUAAGAAUGGGAUAAGUAUAACACAAUGAGACGAAUGCAGAACCAACUAGAUGUACACCCAACAAUGUGGAUGAACCUUAAAACAGUGCUGCCUGAAGAAGGCAAGAAACAGAAUGAAAUCUGCAGCACAUCAUUCAUAUAAACUAAAAAUACAUGCACAGAGAAAGGCCACUUUUUUUUUUUUGGAGACAAAGUUUCGCUCUUGUCACUCAGGCUGGAGUGCAAUGGCACGAUCUCGGCUCACUGCAACGUCCACCUCUAGGGUUCAAGCGACUGUCCUGCCUCAGCUUCUAGAGUAGCUGGGAUUAUAGGAGCCCACCACCAUGGCCGGCUAAUUUUUGUCUUUUUAGUAGAGACGGGGUUUCACCAUGUUGCCCAGGCUGGUCUCAAACUCCUGACCUCAGGUGAUCCACGUGCCUCGGCCUCCGAAAGUGCUGGGAUUACAGGCGUGAGCCACCGCACCCAGUCAGCAACGUAUGUUUUGUAGAGACACAGACAAAGAUGUGAUGUCAAACACACUAAUGUGGUUGCCUCAUUUAUGGAUGGGGGACUGGGCUGGUGAAUGAGGAUUAAAGGAAUAAAUAAAUAAAACAAGAGAGGGCCUCUGUACAGAACGGUGAUGACAGCGUGCCGUCGAGGAGAAUGAUGAACUCAAACUUUUGCACCUGAGAGCCAAACAAAAGCUCAAAACCAAAAUCUCUCUUAGAAAUGAUGCCACUGACUUUAGGAUGGCACUCAUAUCUGUGUGAGUGGGAGAGAGAAGGGUUUGGGGCAGGGAUUUGACUGUAGCUGUAAUGUUUUAUUCCUUUAAAAAAGAUAAGAUAAUCUGAAACAAAAUGUUAAUAUCUGUUGAAUCUGGGGAGAGGCUAUGAGGGUUUCUGUUAAACCAUUUUGUGUACAUUUUAAAUACAGUCAUGCAUGAGUUAAUGAUGGGGAAUAAGUUCUUAGAGAUACGUUGUUAAGCAGUUUUGUUAUUGUGUGAACAUUAUCGAGUGUACUUACACAAACUUAGGAUGGAAUAGCUGACUAUAUAACUUAGACUAUAUGGUCUAGCCUAUUGCUUGAAGGCUGCAAACCCAUACUCCAUGUUACUGUACUGAAUAAUGAAGACAAGUGUAAUACGAUGGCAAGUAUUUGUGUAUCUAAACAUAGAAAAGGUACAGUAGAAAUGUGGUAUCGUAGUCUUAUGAGAGUACUGUUGUAUAUGCAAUGCUUUGUUGACUGAAACAUCAUUAUGUGGUUCAUGACUGUAUAUCAUAAUUUUAAAAAAUAUUUUAAGAGGUUGCCAAUCAAGACACUACAAACUAAUUUUGUGGCUUUUGUCAAAAUUCAUUUCUUUCUUUCUUUUUUUUUUUUUUGUUUUGAGACAGGGAUCACUCAAGCAAUCCUUCUGCCUUA